This 1814-nucleotide ribosomal RNA is filed under the name freshwater metagenome. Its description in RNAcentral is "bacterial LSU rRNA". It matches the Rfam family "Bacterial large subunit ribosomal RNA", at positions 1087 to 2925 of the family's 2925-position model. The record is from RNAcentral.
AGACAGCUAGGAUGUUGGCUUGGAAGCAGCCAUUCAUUUAAAGAGUGCGUAACAGCUCACUAGUCGAGCGGUUUGGCGUGGAUAAUAAUCGGGCAUAAGUAUAUUACCGAAGCUAUGGAAUUGUACAAUGUACAAUUGGUAGGGGAGCAUUCCAUACCGCGUAGAAGGCGUAAGGACAACUUACUCUGGAGCGUAUGGAAAAGCAAAUGUAGGAAUAAGUAACGAUAAGGGGAGCGAGAAACUCCCCCGCCGGAAGACUAAGGUUUCCUGAUCAACGCUAAUCGGAUCAGGGUUAGUCGGGGCCUAAGGUAUAGCCGAAUGGCGAAGCCGAUGGAAGAAACGGUUAAUAUUCCGUUACUACUGUAUAGAGUGAAGUGGGGACGCAGAAGUGAAAGUCCUGCCAACUGACGGAAUAGUUGGUUAAAGGGUGUAGAUUAUGAGAGACGUAGGCAAAUCCGCGUUUUGAGUCGAACCUGAUAGUACCAUGAGCACUUGUGCAAAUGGAUAUGGAUGUAAUCAGACUGCCAAGAAAAUCCGCUAAACGUUAAUCUAUAUAGUACUCGUACCACAAACGGACACACGUGGUCAAGUAUAGCGUACUAAGGCGCUCGAGUGAUUCACAGCUAAGGAACUAGGCAAAAUAGCCCCGUAACUUCGGGAGAAGGGGCGCUUCCUCAUGUUGAAUGAGAAGCCGCAGUGAAAUGGCCCAGGCGACUGUUUAUCAAAAACAUAGGGCUUUGCAAAAUCGAAAGAUGACGUAUAAGGCCUGACACCUGCCCGGUGCUGGAAGGUUAAGAGGAGAUGUUAUCGCAAGAGACGCAUUGAAUUGAAGCCCCAGUAAACGGCGGCCGUAACUAUAACGGUCCUAAGGUAGCGAAAUUCCUUGUCGGGUAAGUUCCGACCUGCACGAAUGGUGUAACGAUCUGGGCACUGUCUCAGCUGUGAGCUCGGUGAAAUUGUAGUAUCGGUGAAGAUGCCGAUUACCCGCAACGGGACGGAAAGACCCCGUGAACCUUUACUGCAACUUAACACUGAAUUUGGGUAAUUGAUGUGUAGGAUAGGCCGGAGACUAUGAAGCGGGCACGCUAGUGUUUGUGGAGUCAUCCUUGAAAUACGGCCCUUCAAUUAUUUGAGUUCUAAUUCCUGUAAAGGAAGACAAUGUUUGGUGGGUAGUUUGACUGGGGUGGUCGCCUCCAAAAGUGUAACGGAGGCUUCCAAAGGUGCGCUCAGCAUGAUUGGUAACCAUGCGUAGAGUAUAAUGGUAUAAGCGCGCUUGACUGAGAGACCGACAAGUCGAUCAGGUAGGAAACUAGGGCAUAGUGAUCCGGUGGUUCCGCAUGGAAGGGCCAUCGCUCAAAGGAUAAAAGGUACUCCGGGGAUAACAGGCUGAUCAUUCCCAAGAGCUCAUAUCGACGGAAUGGUUUGGCACCUCGAUGUCGGCUCGUCACAUCCUGGGGCUGGAGAAGGUCCCAAGGGUUGGGCUGUUCGCCCAUUAAAGUGGCACGCGAGCUGGGUUCAGAACGUCGUGAGACAGUUCGGUCCCUAUCUGUUGUGGGCGCAGGAAAUUUGCGAAGGUCUGACACUAGUACGAGAGGACCGUGUUGGACGAACCUCUGGUCUAUGGGUUGUUCCGCCAGGAGCACUGCCCAGUAGCUACGUUCGGUUAGGAUAAGUGCUGAAAGCAUCUAAGCACGAAGCCAUCUUCAAGAUUAGAUUUCCAUUGAGGGUCGUCGAAGACUACGACGUUGAUAGGUCAUAGGUGUAUAACAGAAAUGUAGAGCCGAGUGAUACUAAUUGCCCGAUAGCUUUUUUUG